CCCGCUGAACUUAAGCAUAUCAAUAAGCGGAGGAAAAGAAACCAACAGGGAUUGCCUCAGUAACGGCGAGUGAAGCGGCAACAGCUCAAAUUUGAAAUCUGGCCUCACGGUCCGAGUUGUAAUUUGUAGAGGAUGUUUUGGGCACCGCUCCGGGUUAAAUUUCUUGGAACAGAAUGUCAAAGAGGGUGAGAGUCCCGUCUUGGCCCGCGGUAGGACCUAUGUAAAACUCCUUCGACGAGUCGACUUGUUUGGGAAUGCAGGUCAAAAUGGGUGGUAAAUUUCAUCUAAAGCUAAAUAUUGGCCAGAGACCGAUAGCGCACAAGUAGAGUGAUCGAAAGAUGAAAAGCACUUUGAAAAGAGAGUUAAACAGUAUGUGAAAUUGUUGAAAGGGAAGCGCUGGCAACCAGACUCGAGCGCGGUGUUCCCCCUGGCUUCUGCCAGGGUUACUUCACCGUGACCGGGCCAUCAUCAGUUUCGGGGGUUGGUUAAAGGUUCCGGGAAUGUACCCACUCCUUCGGGGGUGGACUUAUAGCCCGGGGCGUCAUGCAACCUCCCGGGACUGAGGAACGCGCUUCGGCGAGGAUGAUGGCGUAAUGGUUGUCAGCGACCCGUCUUGAAACACGG
RNAcentral lists this ribosomal RNA (624 nucleotides) under uncultured fungus. Its description in RNAcentral is "eukaryotic LSU rRNA". It matches the Rfam family "Eukaryotic large subunit ribosomal RNA", at positions 24 to 664 of the family's 3401-position model. Lineage: Eukaryota; Fungi. The record is from RNAcentral.